CUAGGAAGACAGGCCUCGAUCCUAUAAUAUUUUAGUUAACAGCUAAACGCUCAAUCCAGCGAGCUUCAUCCUA
Molecule: transfer RNA, 73 nt
Filed under: Xenopus fischbergi (Fischberg's clawed frog)
Lineage: Eukaryota; Metazoa; Chordata; Amphibia; Anura; Pipidae
Description: tRNA-Asn
Source: RNAcentral